Long non-coding RNA from Coffea eugenioides, 152 nucleotides. RefSeq lists it as uncharacterized. The transcript has 3 exons. The record is from RefSeq and is a predicted model, not a curated record. NCBI's taxonomy places the organism in Eukaryota, Viridiplantae, Streptophyta, Magnoliopsida, Gentianales, Rubiaceae.
CUAGCAGCGGACAAGGUGAGGAAGGUGGAUAUGCUUGAAGAAGUCACUGUUAUCUGGUCUGAGAAGGUUAAGGACGAAUUGGUGUUGGAUGGCAAUGACAUUGAGCUUGUUUCCCGAUCUGCUGCCCUGAUAAACCAAAAAUGCCAUGUGAA